CAAGAGUUGGAUGCUUAACUGACUGAGUCACCCAGAUGGCCCAAUAUAUUUUUCCCUUUUAGAUUAAGCUCCCUGUUUCUUUGGCUAUAUCUGUUAUUCCACUCUAAACUUACUUCAAUUUGUCUUUAUCUUUCCAAUAGCCACGAUCCCCAAAACACUACAAGAUUUCAGAGUCAUUAGUUGCAAGCCCCCGUGGGGCAGAAAUUAAGCUCCUGAUUUUUGUUCUAUUUUCCCACUGUGUCUGUGCAGCCCCCCUCACACAGGAGGCAGAAGACAAAUGUUCCCUGACUCAUCCUUUCAUUCGGGCUGUUUCUCCCCCAGGACAGUGGGAGUGUUCACAUACCUUGCAAGCAAAGACUAAGAUUCGGGACCUCUCUUACCUUCUAAAUAACAGUUAGUUACAUCAUAUUUUUGUAAUAUUCCCCUGCUGACCUGAAGCCAAUUUACUUCUCAUGCCUGUGUUUCUCCAUCAGCUCUGGAAAAAAUCCAGAUAUGUAACAUAAACUCUUCUCUGACCCUAAAUUUGCUUGAUUGCCAAUGGAAGGAUUGGAAGCUGGUCGGAAAAGGCAUCUUAACCUUGGCACUAUUUCCUCCAGCAACUUAGACAUUCCUUUUUAAAAUUAACAGUUUCUUGCCAUAAGAUGCCCAGAAGGUUUCAGUAGCAAAACCACGCUGACAAUAGCUGCAGGGUUAGCUAAGCAAAUACAUACUGUAUCUCCUAUGGGAAACGGGUAUGGGAAGGGGAAGAAGUCUGUGUGGAUUUAAAAAAAAAAAAAAGGUGACUUUUUCUAAUCAUGCCUAACUAUCCCUUUUUUGUAAAACAGUUGAGCUGUUAACUUCUAUGCUAAGGCACGUAUGCACUUUGGAAAGGUAAUUUGAAAGCGAGUUGAGCCAUGACAAAUAGGGACAGCUGGCCUAAUUGAAUCAUUUGAUCUAAGACAGCUCAACUUGGUUAUCCUCACUGCAGCCCACACUGAUAUUAGCGAGUGAAUCAUUAGCCAUGAAAUCAUGUCGACUUUCCCGACUGCAGCGUUCUUGACAUGACAGCGAUCGCAGUCUGCCUUUCAUUAUAGCCCCAGUAAGUUCUUUCUUCUGUCAGGAAAACAACAAAGCAGCUUGGAAAACUUUUAGGCUCGGCUUCAGAAAGUCAUUUGCUCCAACAUGCCACAUAGAGCAUUUCAAAGAAAGACAGGGCGUGAGUUAGCUACAGGAGCAAGCUAGGUGCACCUAAGCAAGUUCAGCCAGGCUGGACGCCCUGAAGCCUCUCCAGCAUCCAUACCUGCAGGUAAAAGGCAAGAGCAGCUUUCUUUUGUAAGCACCAGUUUAUGGUCACUUGGGAAAGUGGACUCUAAAUGGAGUAAUGAUAAAUACUAUAACACUUGACCUACAGACAUCCCUAAUGGGAGUCUUCAUGUAGAGAGGACAUUCCUGUCAUCUUUAAUUUAGUUUUUGCAAAAGGAAGGAAAGGGGCGAGUCCCUCUUUUCACUCUAUUUGUCAAAGGUGGUGAGGCAUCUAAGAGAGCUCAAAUGGAGGCACCAGUCCACUGAAAUGUGGAACAAAUCUUGGGUCUUCCCAGCACUCAAGCUGUAUCUCUCUAACUUGCCCCCUCACAACUAGACUCCUUCUUAGGUCCUCCUCUCAAGACUGCACCUGAGGGUGCAUUGGCCUCAAUUCCCACUACAGACAGAGACUGAGACAAAGGCUUGUGAAAAUCCAGAGGGGCGAGACAAAGGAGAGAAAGCCAACACAGGAUGCAUCAGCCUUUGCUUCGAGCAACUCUGCUUGAUCCUCUGGAGCCUUCUGAGAGGUUACACACGUGUGAGCUAUGAGCGCUUUCCUUGGCUGUCCCCCACGAAGCAUCAGCAACAUCCAGUACAGCCAACCAAAGCACCAUCCAGCUGCAGCUCCACAAGCCUUGCAAAAGUCUGCCUAAAACUGGCCUAUCAGCUUAAGAGGAAAGAAAAUCAAGCAACUUCAGCAGCAAAUACACUGCUAGGUGGUGGCAGAGUAGAUUCCUGAACUUAGACCUUGCUCCACUUGCCUGUGAACUUGGCCCUUGAGAUCAGUUUCACCAUCUCGUGGCACACCAAGAGUGACUGGACAUCUAGAGUGGGCCAUUUUGUAAACCCUACCCCCAAAAUAUUUUCAUAGUAACUGUAACAUGAAACAAAGAUAACAGCCAGAAAAGAACUGAAGACAAUUAAACAAAUUUUAAUGUACUACAUAAACGUAAUUUU
Molecule: long non-coding RNA, 2238 nt
Organism: Felis catus (domestic cat)
Lineage: Eukaryota; Metazoa; Chordata; Mammalia; Carnivora; Felidae
Exons: 3
Source: RefSeq, a predicted model, not a curated record